GAGUCGAGCAGAGAGCUGCUUUGUCAUGAAACGGGAGAAAAGUAGUGAACUUAGAGGAGAGAAACAAACUAAAGUAUCGAUCAUAUACCACUACCAACGUUUGGAUCGAUAUCUGCAUCGAUCUGCCCACCCUUGUCUCCUGGAUCGUAGCUGAGAUCAGCGUGAACCACGUGGGUCUCUGCUCCCUGAUCUGUUUCCUGUGUUUGGAAAGAGUUCCAGCUUCAUCACGGAGUUUCUCUCGGUUUGUGGGCUCAUCUAAAGCUGAUCAUCAGGAGGAGACGAGCCAUUUAGACUCAGCUCAGCCACUGCAGAGGAAACAAUGACUUCAACCCAAAAGGACCAACAUGGAGCGAGAAGUCGGCGCUCUCAGGAGGCCGACAAACCUCACAGAAGAAAGGGAGAGAAAAAAUACAGCUGUGAUGAGUGUGGGAAGGGUUUUACCCGGGCUGGAGACUUAAAAACACACCAACUCAUCCACAGUGGAGUUAAACCAUACAACUGUGACUUGUGUGGAAAAUCUUUUACCCACGCUGUUAACUUAAAAUCACACCAACUCAUCCACAGUGGAGUCAAAGCGUACAGCUGUGAUUUGUGUGGAAAGUCUUUUACUUUGGCUGGACAAUUAAAAAAACACCAACUCAUCCACAGUGGAGUUAAAGCGUACACCUGUGACUUUUGUGGAAAAUCUUUUACCCAGGCUGUUAACUUAAAAACACACCAACUCAUCCACAGUGGAGUUAAAGCCUACAAAUGUGACUUGUGUGAAAAGUCUUUUACCCACGCUGUUAGCUUAAAAUCACACCAACUCAUCCACAGUGGCGUUAAAGCGUACAACUGUGACUUGUGUAGAAAAUCUUUUACCCACGCUGGAGGCUUAAAAUCACACCAACUCAUCCACAGUGGCGUUAAAGCAUACAACUGUGACUUGUGUGGAAAAUCGUUUACCCACGCUGGAGGCUUAAAAACACACCAACUCAUCCACAGUGGAGUUAAAGCGUACACCUGUGAUUUGUGUGGAAAGUCUUUUACUUUGGCUGGACAAUUAAAAAAACACCAACUCAUCCACAGUGGAGUUAAAGCGUACACCUGUGACUUUUGUGGAAAAUCCUUCACCCAGGCUGGACACUUAAAAUCACACCAGCUCAUCCACAGUGGAAUUAAACCGUACACCUGUGACUUUUGUGGAAAAUCUUUUACCCAGGCUUUUAACUUAAAAAGACACCAACUCAUCCACAGUGGAGUUAAAGCGUACAGCUGUGACUUGUGUGGAAAAUCUUUUACCCACGCUGGAGGCUUAAAAACACACCAACUGAGCCACAGUGGAGUUCAAGCGUACAGCUGUGAUCAGUGUGGCAGAGCUUUUACUCACAGUGGCCACUUACAGCGUCAUCAAGUUAUCCACUCUGAAUUUAAGGCGUACAGCUGCCACAUUUGUGGAAAAACCUUCCGCUGGCUAGGCAGCCUAAAUAUUCACCUCCGCAUUCACACUGGAAAUGACGUUUACUGCUGUGAUCAGUGUGGGAAACUGUUUGUGAAAUAUAAAGACUUACAACACCACAUGUUUACCCACACUGUGGGGAGACCUUAUAAAUGUGACCUGUGUGAUAAGACUUUUAAAUCUCCACAUUACCUGAAAAUCCACCAACAGACCCACACCAGAAAGAAACUGCAAGUGCAGUUACUGUGAGAAGCAGAGCGACACAGAUGGAUCCAGUUCUGAACCCUGUCGUCACUGUGGAGGUGCGAAAGACUUUCGUUGUGACCUUUGUGGAAAAACUUUCACUCUGCAACGAACCCUAAAAAUACAUCAACGUAGACACAGUGGAGACAAAAUGAACUAUUGCAAAGAAUGUGGGAGAGGCUUCCUCACUCGAACUAAUUUAAAAAUACAUGAACUCAUUCACAGUGGGGUUAAAAAGCACGUCUGUGACCAGUGUGGGUCAUCCUUCACCACUGCAGGUCACCUUAAAAUUCAUAAACAAGUCCACACAGGAGAGAAACCAUACAAGUGUAGACACUGUGACAGAAGCUUCUCACGAUCGAGGAGUCGUAACCUUCAUGAACGUAUACACAUGUGAGAGAAUUUACCUGUGACCAGUGUGACCAGAGCUUCAGGAAUCUCAGUUCAUACUCCAAACACAAACGAUCCCACGCUGUAAAUAAACUGUUUCACUGUUACCAAUGUGCAAAAACAUUUACUUCAUUAUCUGCUCUGUGCAAACAUCAGUGUGAUCAUGCAGGACUGAAAUCAGUGGAUCAAAAUGAAUCUGCAGAGACAGAAAGAUCCUCUUCUGGUUUCGGGGUCAGACUUAAAACCCUUGAGAUCAGGCUCCACAGAGUUCAGAUGGACUCUCCUGUAAAGAGUGUCAGCUGAUGUCACACUUGGAUCUGAGGAGGUGGCUCUGAUUUCUGGACCUGCAGUGAAUAAUCCUCAAGUUAUAAAGUUAUAGAAAUGUUUUUUAUAUCCAGCUGUUCGAGCAGCUAUCUAUGAAGUUGUUCAGCAUUUUUAUAGUUUUGUAUUUUCAUUGUUUUGAAGUCUUAAUUUCUAUUUUCCUUUUUGAAAUUCAGUUUAAAGCUGAACAGGGGCUGGGCAAUAUUUCUAUGUAAUACUAAUUUAUUCCACAAGGUGGAGCUUUAUUUGAUCAGCCAAAGAACACAUUCAUAUUUACAGUGGUGGCCUGCAGAAGACAAUGCAUCUUUAGAAAAUUGGGGUAAAGCAGCAAAAAACUGUUAGAGGUUAAAGUUUGCAGAUGACUGUUGUUGUUCAUCAUCUCCAGGACAGUGAGACCAGUCAUGGCCCAGUGCUCUGGGGUUUUCUUAUAUGCUGUUUAAUUGUUUCUUCUUUGGUUUAGUGUGAUGGCCAUGAGCGAUGUCUCUGUCAGCAAAAAGGCUCUAACACUGAGCGUGAUAAAGAUGCUAAAUAGAACCUUCAACCUCCCCAUUGUCUUUCUUCCUUCCUGCAUUCAGAUGAAUAAAUUAGCUUUUUGUUUUCUA
This is a long non-coding RNA of Pelmatolapia mariae (spotted tilapia), 2994 nucleotides long. RefSeq lists it as uncharacterized. NCBI's taxonomy places the organism in Eukaryota, Metazoa, Chordata, Actinopteri, Cichliformes, Cichlidae. The record is from RefSeq and is a predicted model, not a curated record. The transcript is spliced from 4 exons.